GACAGAGGGGGCGAGCGUUGUCCGGAGUCACUGGGCGUAAAGCGCGCGCAGGCGGCAACCUUAGAGUCGUGUCAAAGCCCCCGGCUCAACCGGGGGAGUCCAUGGCAAACUGGGUCGCUCGAGCUGCGGAGAGGCCCCUCGAAUUGCCGGUGUAGCGGUGAAAUGCGUAGAGAUCGGCAGGAAGACCAAGGGGGAAGCCAGGGGGCUGGCCGCAGGCUGACGCUGAGGCGCGACAGCGUGGGGAGCAAACCGG
This 253-nucleotide ribosomal RNA is filed under the name uncultured bacterium. RNAcentral describes it as "partial 16S ribosomal RNA". It matches the Rfam family "Bacterial small subunit ribosomal RNA", at positions 524 to 776 of the family's 1533-position model. The record is from RNAcentral.